This 115-nucleotide ribosomal RNA is filed under the name Bacillus thuringiensis serovar chinensis CT-43. Lineage: Bacteria; Bacillati; Bacillota; Bacilli; Caryophanales; Bacillaceae. The record is from RNAcentral.
GGUGAUGAUGGCAGAGAGGUCACACCCGUUCCCAUACCGAACACGGAAGUUAAGCUCUCUAGCGCCGAUGGUAGUUGGGACCUUGUCCCUGUGAGAGUAGGACGUUGCCAGGCUU